RNAcentral lists this ribosomal RNA (422 nucleotides) under Adenomera cotuba group sp. ABGD cluster 11. Its description in RNAcentral is "partial large subunit ribosomal RNA". It matches the Rfam family "Bacterial large subunit ribosomal RNA", at positions 1833 to 2457 of the family's 2925-position model. The record is from RNAcentral. Lineage: Eukaryota; Metazoa; Chordata; Amphibia; Anura; Leptodactylidae.
CUUGACCCCCCCAUAAGAGGUCCAGCCUGCCCAGUGACACUGUUCAACGGCCGCGGUAUCCUAACCGUGCGAAGGUAGCGUAAUCACUUGCUCUUUAAAUGAGGGCUAGUAUGAAAGGCACCACGAGAGUCAUACUGUCUCCUUUCUCAAAUCAGUGAAACUAAUCCCUCCGUGAAGAAGCGGGGAUAAAAAUAUAAGACGAGAAGACCCUAUGGAGCUUUAAACAAACAAUACUUGCCUGCCUCUUUUUAAUUCCAGAAAAACUAUCUACCCCGGCACUAUAAUUACUAGUUUUCGGUUGGGGUGACCGCGGAACAAAAACCAACCUCCGCAAUGAAAAUAUUCCCUCCUCUAAGUUAAGGACUACAAUCCUAUGCAUCAACAUAUUGACAUCGAUUGACCCAACAUAUUGAUCAAUGAAC